CCUACGGGUGGCAUCAGUGGGGAAUAUUGCACAAUGGGGGAAACCCUGAUGCAGCGACGCCGCGUGAGUGAAGAAGUAUUUCGGUAUGUAAAGCUCUAUCAGCAGGGAAGAAAACCACCCUCCGGGGUGGCUGACGGUACCUGAUUAAGAAGCCCCGGCUAACUACGGGCCAGCAGCCGCAGGGAUACGUAGGGGGCAAGCGUUAUCCGGAUUUACUUGGUGGAAAGGGAGAGUAGGUGGCAAGGCAAGUCAGAUGUGAAAACCCGGGGCCCAACCCCGGGAGUGCAUUUGAAACUGGCUGGCUAGAGUGCAGGAGAGGUAAGUGGAAGUCGUAGUGUAGCGGUGAAAUGCAGAGAUAGUAGGAGGAACACCAGUUGCGAAGGCGGCUUACUGGACUGUAACUGACACUGAGGCUCGAAAGCGUGGGGAGCAAACAGGAUUAGAUACCCCAGUAGUC
Molecule: ribosomal RNA, 457 nt
Filed under: uncultured bacterium
Lineage: Bacteria
Description: partial 16S ribosomal RNA
Rfam family: Bacterial small subunit ribosomal RNA
Source: RNAcentral